ACACCUGCUUUGGCAGUGCAUAUACUCAAGGAGAUACAGAUACUGGGAAGAGUAACAUGACCCCUGCAGAAGGAAGACACGAACAUUCGUGAAAUGUUCCCUAUUAGA
Neogale vison (American mink) is the source of this 108-nucleotide small nuclear RNA. The record is from Ensembl. NCBI's taxonomy places the organism in Eukaryota, Metazoa, Chordata, Mammalia, Carnivora, Mustelidae.